GCCUACGGGGGGCAGCAGUGGGGAAUAUUGGACAAUGGGGGCAACCCUGAUCCAGCAAUGCCGCGUGAGUGAUGAAGGCCUUAGGGUUGUAAAGCUCUUUUACCGGGGACGAUGAUGACGGUACCCGGAGAAUAAGCCCCGGCUAACUUCGUGCCAGCAGCCGCGGUAAUACGAAGGGGGCGAGCGUUGUUCGGAGUUACUGGGCGUAAAGGGCGCGUAGGCGGCGUCCCAAGUUAGGCGUGAAAGCCCCGGGCUCAACCUGGGAAUUGCGCUUAAGACUGGGAUGCUCGAGUGCGGAAGAGGUGAGUGGAAUUCCCAGUGUAGAGGUGAAAUUCGUAGAUAUUGGGAAGAACACCAGUGGCGAAGGCGGCUCACUGGUCCGCAACUGACGCUGAGGCGCGAAAGCGUGGGGAGCAAACAGGAUUAGAUACCCCAGUAGUCC
Molecule: ribosomal RNA, 442 nt
Filed under: uncultured Rhodospirillaceae bacterium
Lineage: Bacteria; Pseudomonadati; Pseudomonadota; Alphaproteobacteria; Rhodospirillales; Rhodospirillaceae
Description: bacterial SSU rRNA
Rfam family: Bacterial small subunit ribosomal RNA
Source: RNAcentral